UAUCAAUAAGCGGAGGAAAAGAAACCAACAGGGAUUGCCUCAGUAACGGCGAGUGAAGCGGCAACAGCUCAAAUUUGAAAUCUGGCCCUAGGCCCGAGUUGUAAUUUGCAGAGGAUGCUUUUGGUGCGGUGCCUUCCAAGUUCCCUAGAACGGGACGCCAGAGAGGGUGAGAGCCCCGUACAGUUGGACACCAAGCCUUUGUAAAGCUCCUUCGACGAGUCGAGUAGUUUGGGAAUGCUGCUCAAAAUGGGAGGUAUAUUUCUUCUAAAGCUAAAUACCGGCCAGAGACCGAUAGCGCACAAGUAGAGUGAUCGAAAGAUGAAAAGCACUUUGAAAAGAGGGUUAAACAGCACGUGAAAUUGUUAAAAGGGAAGCGCUUGUGACCAGACUUGCGUCCGGUGAAUCACCCAGCUCUCGCGGCUGGGGCACUUCGCCGGCUCAGGCCAGCAUCAGCUCGCUGUCGGGGACAAAAGCUUCAGGAACGUAGCUCUCUUCGGGGAGUGUUAUAGCCUGUUGCACAAUACCCUUCGGCGGGCUGAGGUACGCGCUCCGCAAGGAUGCUGGCAUAAUGGUCAUCAGCGACCCGUCUUGAAACACGGACCAAGGAGUCAACCUUAUGUGCGAGUGUUCGGGUGUCAAACCCCUACGCGUAAUGAAAGUGAACGCAGGUGAGAGCUUCGGCGCAUCAUCGACCGAUCCUGAUGUUCUCGGAUGGAUUUGAGUAAGAGCAUAUAGGGUUGGACCCGAAAGAAGGUGAACUAUGCGUGUAUAGGGUGAAGCCAGAGGAAACUCUGGUGGAGGCUCGCAGCGGUUCUGACGUGCAAAUCGAUCGUCAAAUAUGCGCAUGGGGGCGAAAGACUAAUCGAACCUUCUAGUAGCUGGUUUC
Molecule: ribosomal RNA, 886 nt
Filed under: Colletotrichum gloeosporioides
Lineage: Eukaryota; Fungi; Ascomycota; Sordariomycetes; Glomerellales; Glomerellaceae
Description: LSU rRNA
Rfam family: Eukaryotic large subunit ribosomal RNA
Source: RNAcentral